UUCACAUGUAAUGAUGUGACAGUGUUGC
This 28-nucleotide non-coding RNA is filed under the name Rattus norvegicus (Norway rat). The record is from RNAcentral. Lineage: Eukaryota; Metazoa; Chordata; Mammalia; Rodentia; Muridae.